This 484-nucleotide ribosomal RNA is filed under the name uncultured bacterium. RNAcentral's name for it is "partial 16S ribosomal RNA". It matches the Rfam family "Bacterial small subunit ribosomal RNA", at positions 28 to 523 of the family's 1533-position model. The record is from RNAcentral.
GAUGAACGCUGGCGGCGUGCUUAACACAUGCAAGUCGAACGGUGAAGCAGGAGCUUGCUCUUGUGGAUCAGUGGCGAACGGGUGAGUAACACGUGAGCAACCUGCCCCUGACUCUGGGAUAAGCGCUGGAAACGGCGUCUAAUACUGGAUAUGUGAUGUGACCGCAUGGUCUGCAUCUGGAAAGAAUUUCGGUUGGGGAUGGGCUCGCGGCCUAUCAGCUUGUUGGUGAGGUAAUGGCUCACCAAGGCGUCGACGGGUAGCCGGGCUGAGAGGGUGACCGGCCACACUGGGACUGAGACACGGCCCAGACACCUCCGGGCGGCAGCAGUGGGGAAUAUUGCACAAUGGGCGGAAGCCUGAUGCAGCAACGCCGCGUGAGGGGUGACGGCCUUCGGGUUGUAAACCUCUUUUAGCAGGGAAGAAGCGAAAGUGACGGUACCUGCAGAAAAAGCACCGGCUAACUACGUGCCAGCCGCCGCGGUAA